CCUGCCCCUGGAUGGUGUUGCCGCGGGUGUGGCUGCUGUGUCUCCUGUUCGUCAGUAGGUGGCAGAGAGGAGAAAGGCUGUGUCUACACAGUGUUCUGACCUGUGCACAUCUUCGCGAUCAGUAGCCUAACGUU
This is a small nucleolar RNA of Meriones unguiculatus (Mongolian gerbil), 134 nucleotides long. The record is from Ensembl. Lineage: Eukaryota; Metazoa; Chordata; Mammalia; Rodentia; Muridae.